Molecule: ribosomal RNA, 254 nt
Filed under: uncultured bacterium
Lineage: Bacteria
Description: partial 16S ribosomal RNA
Rfam family: Bacterial small subunit ribosomal RNA
Source: RNAcentral
UACGUAGGGUCCGAGCGUUAUCCGGAAUCAUUGGGCGUAAAGAGCUCGUAGGCGGUUCAGCAAGUCGGCUGUGAAAGUCCGGGGCUCAACCCCGGAAUUGCAGUCGAUACUGCUGUGACUCGAGUCCGGUAGAGGAGAACGGAAUUCCCGGUGUAGCGGUGAAAUGCGCAGAUAUCGGGAGGAACACCGAUGGCGAAGGCAGGUCUCUGGGCAUUAACUGACGCUGAGGAGCGAAAGCAUGGGGAGCGAACAGG